Molecule: long non-coding RNA, 1442 nt
Filed under: Struthio camelus australis
Lineage: Eukaryota; Metazoa; Chordata; Aves; Struthioniformes; Struthionidae
Description: lncRNA (ENSSCUG00000014008.1)
Source: RNAcentral
CAAGCACUGGCUAGCAGUGCUGGAAGGAGGCAGCCACCAGGAGUAAUAAAUCACCACCAGUCCUGGACACAGCUCCCAACAGGAAGGAUUCGAUCACCUGGUUUCAGACCGCUGCUGGGUAGGAACUGUGGAUGCCACAUGCUGUAGCCCACGGCCCGCUCGGAAAGGGAAGGAGCAGCAGAGGCCGGCCCAGGAUGUGUAAAACCCCCCGGCGGGACACACAGCAAUGGUGGCCCAGAGGGAGCUACCAGCCCCCAGCCACCACAAGGUCGUCAGAAGUUGAACAGAAUUACUGCAAAAAUAAAUGUGUUGGAGACCAUCCCUUUCUGAAUGCACCUAUAGUGUCCCUUCUGCAGCCUUGCAUGUUAGAGAGAGGCAAGAAUCAAACCCUGCAUCUGAAGACACCCCGAAUCCUUGAGGAAAUCUGAAUUCACCUGCUCCAAGCACCUAGGCAAAGCACAAGCCUUUGGUCUGAAAGUUCAGAGGAAUUCAGCUCCAGAUGAGGACUUUAUAGGAGGGCUCACGAAUGCUUCAGCUGAACAAAACACCAGAAAUGGAGGAAGAAUCUCAAUACUUGAAGAGCAAGGGGAUCUACUCAGGUUUCAAACCCCUUUGUACUCCAAACAAUUGCAAAUUGUAUUUGUUAUUUAUUGAGGGCCUUCUGACGUGGUUAGAGUUAAAAACCAGGCUAAAAUUGGACCUCACAGCUUUGCUUUGAUACAUGAAAACAGACAUGAAUGUCACAUCAUUCCUCUGCCCUGCUUUCUGUGCUCAUAUGAGCAGACAGGGGAUGGAAAAACACAAUAAUUUUCCUCUCUAGGGACCGCAUAGCUCAAGGGAUUGGUAAUAGGACAUAAGCCUUUCAGCCCUAAAUCAAUUACUCAGAAUUGACUUAGGUUGUUAGUAACUGAGUUUGUUUGUUUGGCUCCAUAAAAAACAUAAAAUAUAUUCACUCUUACAAUUACUGCCAUUUUUACGUGGUAUAGAGUAGAAGCCAGAUAAGCUCUGAGGAUACCUUCCCACCUUUUUACUACUGACUUGGAGAGUCUGAUGAAACCAAGGCCAAAAUGUGCAAAAAGCAAAAGCAAGCAUUAACACUUGGUAUAUAGUUAAAAUACCCAUGCUUUAGGCAAUAGGUUUUCAAAAGUUAAUUCGAAACCUCUCCUAAGUUAAGCAAGCUCAUCCAAGGUUUGUGACUACAAAAAGCCUUGGAUCACCAGCUCUAGGCAUUUGUGCUGAGCAAAUGUCAGCAAGUUUGCUUCCAAGGCACAACAUUAAAUAGGAAUUGGUGUUUCUUUUUCUAUAACAAAGGUAAAAAUAAUUUUAUGCAAAUAUAAUUUUACCUUUCAUGAGGCUUAAGAGGUCUCUCAACUCCAUAUUAACGCAUAUAGGAAUGAUAAUGAACCAAUAAAUAUCCAAGUUCAGGUAAUAUUCGCUAUUCG